This 429-nucleotide ribosomal RNA is filed under the name Actinomycetes bacterium. RNAcentral's name for it is "Actinobacteria bacterium partial 16S ribosomal RNA". It matches the Rfam family "Bacterial small subunit ribosomal RNA", at positions 355 to 776 of the family's 1533-position model. Lineage: Bacteria; Bacillati; Actinomycetota; Actinomycetes. The record is from RNAcentral.
UAGGGAAUCUUCCGCAAUGGGCGAAAGCCUGACGGAGCAACGCCGCGUGAGUGAUGAAGGUCUUCGGAUCGUAAAACUCUGUUAUUAGGGAAGAACAAAUGUGUAAGUAACUAUGCACGUCUUGCCGGUACCUAAUCAGAAAGCCACGGCUAACUACGUGCCAGCAGCCGCGGUAAUACGUAGGUGGCAAGCGUUAUCCGGAAUUAUUGGGCGUAAAGCGCGCGUAGGCGGUUUUUUAAGUCUGAUGUGAAAGCCCACGGCUCAACCGUGGAGGGUCAUUGGAAGAUGGAAAACUUGAGUGCAGAAGAGGAAAGUGGAAUUCCAUGUGUAGCGGUGAAAUGCGCAGAGAUAUGGAGGAACACCAGUGGCGAAGGCGAAUUUCUGGUCUGUAACUGACGCUGAUGUGCGAAAGCGUGGGGAUCAAACAGG